GGGGCUGACGUGGCUUUUGACAGCAUGAAGAAUUUGUAUGUAAGCAUGUCGAGCAUUGUGUAUCUGGCUCGUAAAUAUCAGGUCUCAAACUUUGUAAUUGGCGAAAAUAACUACGCUCUUGCUGCUUAAUCGAAUUAUAGUAGAUUAAUGCUUCAUCACUACUCUAGGAGUAGAGACGAGACAUCCAGCUUAUGGUUCCACCUUGUUCCGGUAAGUAAUUGGAUGCUAUCAAUUCAGGGUUAGUUGGCUUCACGCUUUGGGGAGUUGGCGAAAUAAAAAAGAUAAGGUUUAGCAUCGGGUGUCCUUUCUCUAGCUAGAUUCGAAAAUUAAUGAAGGAAUAAACAUGUAGAAAGCUUAUUAAUCGCAUGUUUGGACCAGGGUUCGAUCCCCUGCAGCUCCACGA
Molecule: transfer-messenger RNA, 403 nt
Filed under: Marinifilaceae
Lineage: Bacteria; Pseudomonadati; Bacteroidota; Bacteroidia; Marinilabiliales
Also listed under: 1 other name
Description: Ancylomarina sp009669305 Standard tmRNA
Rfam family: transfer-messenger RNA
About the family: Bacterial tmRNA, also known as 10Sa RNA or SsrA, is named for its dual tRNA and mRNA-like properties. Its role is to liberate the mRNA from a stalled ribosome. To accomplish this part of the tmRNA is used as a reading frame that ends in a translation stop signal.
Source: RNAcentral